This 883-nucleotide ribosomal RNA is filed under the name Ferrimonas kyonanensis. RNAcentral's name for it is "bacterial SSU rRNA". It matches the Rfam family "Bacterial small subunit ribosomal RNA", at positions 86 to 963 of the family's 1533-position model. The record is from RNAcentral. Lineage: Bacteria; Pseudomonadati; Pseudomonadota; Gammaproteobacteria; Alteromonadales; Ferrimonadaceae.
GGGCGUCGAGCGGCGGACGGGUGAGUAAUGCUUAGGAAUUUGCCCAGUCGAGGGGGAUAACCAUUGGAAACGAUGGCUAAUACCGCAUACGCCCUACGGGGGAAAGAGGGGGAUGCUUCGGCACCUUUCGCGAUUGGAUAAGCCUAAGUGAGAUUAGCUAGUUGGUGAGGUAAAGGCUCACCAAGGCGACGAUCUCUAGCUGGUUUGAGAGGAUGAUCAGCCACACUGGAACUGAGACACGGUCCAGACUCCUACGGGAGGCAGCAGUGGGGAAUAUUGCACAAUGGGCGCAAGCCUGAUGCAGCCAUGCCGCGUGUAUGAAGAAGGCCUUCGGGUUGUAAAGUACUUUCAGCGAGGAGGAAAGGGUGUGAGUUAAUACCUUACAUCUGUGACGUUACUCGCAGAAGAAGCACCGGCUAACUCCGUGCCAGCAGCCGCGGUAAUACGGAGGGUGCGAGCGUUAAUCGGAAUUACUGGGCGUAAAGCGCAUGCAGGCGGUUUGUUAAGCGAGAUGUGAAAGCCCCGGGCUCAACCUGGGAACUGCAUUUCGAACUGGCAAACUAGAGUCUUGUAGAGGGAGGUAGAAUUUCAGGUGUAGCGGUGAAAUGCGUAGAGAUCUGAAGGAAUACCAGUGGCGAAGGCGGCCUCCUGGACAAAGACUGACGCUCAGAUGCGAAAGCGUGGGGAGCAAACAGGAUUAGAUACCCUGGUAGUCCACGCCGUAAACGAUGUCUAUUAGGAGUCUGUGCCCUUGAGGCGUGGGUUCCAAAGCUAACGCAUUAAAUAGACCGCCUGGGGAGUACGGCCGCAAGGUUAAAACUCAAAUGAAUUGACGGGGGCCCGCACAAGCGGUGGAGCAUGUGGUUUAAUUCGAUGCAACGCG